AAGGCCAUCUAAUCCAACUCCCCUGCAGUGCACAGGGGCACAUACAGCUCCAUCAGGUUGCCCUGAGCCUGGUCCAACCCAACCUUGAGUCAGGGAUGGGGCAAUCACCCAUCCUGGCUUGAUGUUACUGUGCAGGUGUUGCUGUGACAGUGUUUUGGAGGAAAAGCAGUGCUGCUCAUCCCCUUCCCUGCAGCCCAAGUUGGCACCGAGCCUUCACAGCCCAGCUGACGCUGCUUCCCUCAUCUCAUCACCUUCUCCAAAUAGCCAUGCCUCUACAACAAAUGCCUUUCGCUGUUACAGUUUGUAGGUGUUGAUCACCCUGCCCUAUUUUUGCAGCAUUUCUGCUUGUCAGGGUGCAGGAGAGGUGCAAUGCUGCACUGUGUCACAUGGAUUAAAUUUGGGUUGUAAUUCAUCAUUUGGGUCAGGAGGAGAGAGGAGAAGCUUUCAAAGCUGUUGCAACAUGUAAAGCAUAACCCAGCACAGAAAACCAGUUCAAGGCAGUUCAUAUCUACGCUGAUGGUUCGAUCUUUCUUCUACAAACCCGAUGAUUCAGAGGGCAAGAUCAAUCCAAGGGCAAAGCACUGCCCAGAGAGCAGAAGCAGGGGGAAACCUACGCAUGCUAGCAAGUUGUGUGGCUCCUACAGCUUGCUCCACACCCACGGUUAAUGAGUAAUCGAUGGAAAUCAGCAGCAUAGGUUGCAGCAUAGGUUGAGCCAGAGCCUGUGUGCUCUUGCUGAUGUUCUGAGGAAAAACCAGGGUUGAGCCUGGGCUGGUUAUGUGGCUGCUUACUUGAUGAAGUCAGUGGAAAGGCCAAACAGUGCAACAGUAAAAGGCUGGAGCGGGGUUUGGAUGAAUGCUGGUGGCUGGGACCCCACCACUCAGCUCUGGGAGCUGCACCCAUCAGCUGGCUAUCAGCCAUCCAUGGUCUGCAGAUGUGGAGCAGCAGCUUUGGUUGCUCUGCAGCACUAAGAAUGAGAACUCCUCUCACCCGAGAGCUGCCAGGUUUCUCACCCGAUUGGCCCCAGAGGGGAGGACACAGCCCCUCAGAACAGUGCGCUCAGCUCAGGAUGUUGAUUCUGGAGCUGUCAAGGGCUCUGCAGCAGCGGUGGUGGUCAGGACAUGGCCAGUAUGACCUUCCCUUUGGCUCUCAGGAUGCAGUCACAGUGUGUUACCAAGUACAGGCUGAACUUGUCCUCCGUGCCAGGCAGGCACCACCUCUUCCAUCCCUGGGAGAACGAUGGGCCCACCAUAAGCUGGGCUGUGGGACGCCCAGAGGUUUGAGACAAAGCCUGGGCCCCAGCAUGAGUCAGGCAAGGUGAGGCUUGCAGUGAAGAAUCCCUGAGCAGUCUGAAACCUUUGGGCUGUUUGUUAAAGCUACAUAAAUCCCUGAAUGAGGAAACAUAUGUCUGGAGCAGGUUUGCUUUGCCAAAUGGCACGGUGUCACGUGUCUGUCCCACGUUCUGCAUACAGGCAGUCCCCAGGCAUUUUGCAGCCUCCAAUAGGAAAAUUGCCGCAUGUGAUCAAGGCUUCAUCAGGUCAGCUGGAAACAAAGCACUGUGCUGCCACGUGCUGCAGAACGGGGAUUGGGAUAGUGCUCAAGGAGUGGCAAUGCUCAGGAUAAUAAACCCAGCCUAACGCUGACAACCAGAGACUGGCCCAGCCGUGGCCCCAGGACUGAGUACACAGCACUAGGGGAUGUAAGAAUGAAAAGCAUCAGCACCACCUCCUCCAGUGCAUAGUUCCUGGACAGGAUAGUGCCCAGCCACCAGCUUGUUCUGUCAUCCCAUGUAUAUCACACCUUAAUCCCAUGGCUCAGUUCCUCAUCUAAAAAACACAUGACUGCUGGAAACCAUGUGAGAGAGGCAAAGGAGAGUUGCUGUGUAUAAAAUGUAGAGCAAGGUCCCAAUCCACUGCUGUGAAGAAAAAUCCUCCCCAUCAGUGAACAGCACUGAGCUUCCUCUUAAAGGCAGAAGACUGAACCAGUGGAAAAUUGAAAUAAAGGAAAAAAACCUGUUGGUAUUUUCAAGCAAUCAAACCUCAUUGUCUGAGAGAGAUAACAUCAGUCACCAUCUGCUCCUGCUCUGAAAUCACAGCAGUUCUUCCUGCAGGGGGAAGAAUGACCCCAGGUGCUGCCUUGUGAAUCCUGGUGCCACUGCUUCUGUCUGUAAAAAAAAAAAGCCAGGGCCUGCUCUAUUUCCUCCGUGCCCUUGCAGCGUUUUGCACAGAGGAAAGCAGAGUUGGUUUAAAGCACAUUUUGCUUGUCAGCAGACACACAGGGAUGAGGCACAAUUCAGACUGUGUUUCUGGCUGAACUCCAGCCUCACCCGUGGGUAAGAUGUUCUCUCUGCUACCAGCUGUAGGGAAGCUGAGCUGUGCCUGUGCAUGCAGGGAUCCAGGCUCUGGGCUCUUCUUGCAUCAGCCUUGAGUCAGCUCGGUUUCAGUGCCUUUGGGCUCACCUUAUUUCCACACCUACAGCACUGUCUGUGGCCAAGCCUGCAGCUUCAUGUUCCUGCCCUGCGGAGCUCGUCUCAUCUCAGGUGACAGCAUCAAGCCAGAAGCAAGUUUGAUAACUUCAAGGCACAGCAGUCAAACGCUGUGAUUGGUGAUGUGACCAGCGCUUCGCUCCACAUUUAAAGGGUGAAAAGACAUAGAAAUUACACAUCUUUUUAGGGAAUCAAAGCCAGCAUGUAAAGUAGUGCUGCAGCUGUGGAGAUGGAGAAGCUGCUCCCAGGGACAAUCCAAGAGAUUUAAUUGCUUUCUGGUUUCCACAUAUUCUCUUUUCUUUGGUACUACUGCAACUUGAGCCAGCAUUUCUGCACUACCAGGAAAAGGUCAUCAAUCAGCUGUUUCCUUCUGCUUUUCUGCAAUGCUAUAUUUUGAAAUAUAUCCCUGACAAACUAAAAGAAGUGUUGGAGCAAUUCCAUGGGAAACAUCAGUACAGUAACCAGAUCUGUAGUGUACAACAUCUGUCAAGAUAAUGUGACCUCUUGCUGGCUUUGAUGUGAUGGAAGCAGGCUGCAGAACUCUCCCUGAGAAAGUUCCCCUUCACCUUCACUAGACCUUAAGGCAGCCCCAAUACAAAGCUUUUCUAAAACAAAAUGAGCAAGGGAGUGGAAACAUGAAGCUCCUUGGCUGGGGGGCUCUGAUACACAUGCCUUUCCUGCACAGCACUGGCUGUGCAGGGAAGGAAGGGUUACAGGAAAUGUGGGCUCUGCUCUGAGCAGCACUCAGGGAGCUGUGCCUUGAUCAAAGGCUUCUGGCAGAAGGCUGUCUGGGAAGUGGGGCUACCUCCUUCCCAAAGCAAUGCAUCUGGAGCUGCAGCAGUCAGCAGAGGGAUUCCUUCUCCCUCGGCAUCCCCUCCAAGUAGGGCCAGGGCUGAACUCCAAGGAGAUGCUGCAGGAGCCCUUUUCCUCCCCUGGAGGAAGAGAGAGAUGAGGAAUAACCCUGCCCUCUGCAUAGGAAAUGGGGAGCAGCCCCAGCUCUGAGCAAGGCAGCAAGAACAGAGCAACACCUGCAGGCAGCAUAGGGUGGGAGGGAGCUGGAGCCAGCCAAGAGGCUCUUGAAAUGAAGUCCUGUGUUAUCUUUGUCAGCUAUCUUGGCUGUUUAAAUCCAGGGAAUUCCCUUUCUGUCCCUGUAGCCCUGACUUGGCACCACAAAUCCCCCUCUCGUGAUGCAAGUAACACCAGACCCUGUCCCCAUAACACUCCGACAUUUCCCUUCCAAUCCUUCCAGUCCCAAGGCUGUGGUUGCCAAGCCUCAUGUCCUGCUCGGCCUUUUGGCUUUCCAAAGGAGCUGU
Numida meleagris (helmeted guineafowl) is the source of this 3796-nucleotide long non-coding RNA. RefSeq lists it as uncharacterized. The transcript is spliced from 2 exons. NCBI's taxonomy places the organism in Eukaryota, Metazoa, Chordata, Aves, Galliformes, Numididae. The record is from RefSeq and is a predicted model, not a curated record.